Molecule: ribosomal RNA, 700 nt
Filed under: uncultured bacterium
Lineage: Bacteria
Description: bacterial SSU rRNA
Rfam family: Bacterial small subunit ribosomal RNA
Source: RNAcentral
GAUCCUGGCUCAGGAUGAACGCUGGCGGCGUGCCUAACACAUGCAAGUCGAACGGACUUAACAUGAAACCUAGUGAUUGUUAAGCUAGUGGCGGACGGGUGAGUAACGCGUGGAUAACCUGCCGUAUGCAGGGGGAUAACAGUUGGAAACAGCUGCUAAUACCGCAUAAGCGCACAGUGCCGCAUGGCACAGUGCGAAAAGAUUUAUCGGCAUACGAUGAAUCCGCGUCCGAUUAGCCAGUUGGCGGGGUAACGGCCCACCAAAGCGACGAUCGGUAGCCGGCCUGAGAGGGCGGACGGCCACAUUGGGACUGAGACACGGCCCAAACUCCUACGGGAGGCAGCAGUGGGGAAUAUUGCACAAUGGGGGAAACCCUGAUGCAGCGACGCCGCGUGAGUGAAGAAGUAUCUCGGUACGUAAAGCUCUAUCAGCAGGAAAGAAAAUGACGGUACCUGACUAAGAAGCCCCGGCUAACUACGUGCCAGCAGCCGCGGUAAUACGUAGGGGGCAAGCGUUAUCCGGAUUUACUGGGUGUAAAGGGAGCGUAGACGGCGCUGCAAGUCCGGAGUGAAAGCCCAUGGCUUAACCAUGGUACUGCUCUGGAAACUGUANAGCUUGANUGCGGNAGGGGCAGGCGGAAUUCCUAGUGUAGCGGUGNAAUGCGUAGAUAUUANGAGGAACACCGGCGGCGAAAGCGGCC